GACGAACGCUGGCGGCGCGCCUAACACAUGCAAGUCGAACGAGCGAGAGAGAGCUUACUUUCUCGAGCGAGUGGCGAACGGGUGAGUAACGCGUGAGGAACCUGCCUCAAAGAGGGGGACAACAGUUGGAAACGACUGCUAAUACCGCAUAAGCCCACGGGUCGGCAUCGACCAGAGGGAAAAGGAGCAAUCCGCUUUGAGAUGGCCUCGCGUCCGAUUAGCUAGUUGGUGAGGUAACGGCCCACCAAGGCAACGAUCGGUAGCCGGACUGAGAGGUUGAACGGCCACAUUGGGACUGAGACACGGCCCAGACUCCUACGGGAGGCAGCAGUGGGGAAUAUUGCACAAUGGGGGAAACCCUGAUGCAGCGACGCCGCGUGGAGGAAGAAGGUCUUCGGAUUGUAAACUCCUGUUGUUGAGGAAGAUAAUGACGGUACUCAACAAGGAAGUGACGGCUAACUACGUGCCAGCAGCCGCGGU
RNAcentral lists this ribosomal RNA (480 nucleotides) under uncultured bacterium. RNAcentral describes it as "bacterial SSU rRNA". It matches the Rfam family "Bacterial small subunit ribosomal RNA", at positions 28 to 521 of the family's 1533-position model. The record is from RNAcentral.